Molecule: ribosomal RNA, 459 nt
Filed under: uncultured bacterium
Lineage: Bacteria
Description: partial 16S ribosomal RNA
Rfam family: Bacterial small subunit ribosomal RNA
Source: RNAcentral
CCUACGGGAGGCAGCAGUGAGGAAUAUUGGUCAAUGGCCGGAAGUCUGAACCAGCCAUGCCGCGUGAAGGUCAGUGCCCUAUGGGCGUUAAACUUCUUUUGUUCGGGAGCAAUAAUGGUCACGUGUGGCCAUACGAGAGUACCGUCCUAAUAAGCAUCGGCUAACUCCGUUCCAGCAGCCGCGGUAAUACGGGGGAUGCAAGCGUUAUCCGGAUUUACUGGGUGUAAAGGGGGCGCAGACGGCAGCGCAAGCCAGGAGUGAAAGCCCGGGGCCCAACCCCGGGACUGCUCUUGGAACUGCGCGGCUGGAGUGCAGGAGGGGCAGGCGGAAUUCCUGGUGUAGCGGUGAAAUGUGUAGAUAUCAGGAGGAACACCGGUGGCGAAGGCGGCCUGCUGGACUACGACUGACGUUGAGGCCCGAAAGCGUGGGGAGCAAACAGGAUUAGAUACCCGGGUAGUC